ACAGCAUUUGAAACUUGGAGACCUAAUUUUUCUCUUGAUUGUUUUUGCUAUCUCUGCUUUAUGAAUUUUAUGUAUUUUGUGAUUCUUGAGAUGCUAUUCAUUUGAACUUAUCUAGGGGGAAAAGCUUUGAAGCCUGAGUUGAAAAUGGGUUCUUCCAGAAAGAAUUUGUAUGUUUCUGGAUAACAUAUUAUAUGUUCUAAACAUAGCAACAACAAUAUGUCUCUUCCCACACACUCUUCUUAUGAUGUUACUUUGACACUUCUCCCAUUGAGAAGUGGGAUCUAUGCCCCUGUUCUUUGAAUCUGGGACGGCUUAUGAUCAGGGUACUAAUUCUGUGUGACUUCUACUGCUGGGAGGUAAAAUGACAAUAUUGUUUCUUCUUGUUUUUCUUGGGAUGCCUUGCACUUGGAACCAACCACCAUGCCCUGAGAAAUCAUGUAGCUCCAUGGUACUCUGAGCCAGUGGCCUCAGAUGACAUCCUAGCCAACAGCCAGCAUCAACCACCAGACAUGUGGAUGAAUCAGCCUUCAGAUGAUCCCAUUUCCACCAACUCACAACUCUUCAAGUCUUAUCAGAUGGGGCACAAGACAUCAUGGCAUAGAGACUAACUGUCCCUAUUUUACACUACCCAAAAUCUUGGCUCAUGGAAUCUAUGAGUAUAUUAUUAUGACCAUUGUUUUGCUAUACAGAGUUUAAGGAGCCCAGGUUUUUACUGAACAACCAAUAAUCAGAAUACUUCUGUCAGAUAUUUGUGGGUGAAGUCACUCCAAAAGUACUUUAAGUUCUAGAUUUGAGGGUUUGAGAGCAAUAAAAGUGAUGUAACUGAAUUCUUAGAUUUUUUUUUCC
RNAcentral lists this long non-coding RNA (846 nucleotides) under Marmota monax (woodchuck). Lineage: Eukaryota; Metazoa; Chordata; Mammalia; Rodentia; Sciuridae. The record is from RNAcentral.